GCGUCGGUGGUGCAACGGUUUAGCACAUCACAUGCUCCCGGAAAGAGUAAGAUCUGGGUUAAAAUCCCGGCUGACGCA
Non-coding RNA from Parelaphostrongylus tenuis, 78 nucleotides. The record is from the annotation of a GenBank genome assembly. NCBI's taxonomy places the organism in Eukaryota, Metazoa, Nematoda, Chromadorea, Rhabditida, Metastrongylidae.